UCGCGAAACCGCCCUGCGGGGCGGUCGUCCGGCAGCGGUGUGCCGGGCCUGAUGAGCAGCCAAAG
RNAcentral lists this non-coding RNA (65 nucleotides) under Desulfovibrio sp. Lineage: Bacteria; Pseudomonadati; Thermodesulfobacteriota; Desulfovibrionia; Desulfovibrionales; Desulfovibrionaceae. The record is from RNAcentral.